UACGUAGGGGGCAAGCGUUGUCCGGAUUUAUUGGGCGUAAAGAGCGUGUAGGCGGCCUGAAAGGUCAGCUGUGAAAACUCGAGGCUCAACCUCGAGACGUCGGUUGAAACCAUCUGGCUAGAGUCCGGAAGAGGAGAGUGGAAUUCCCGGUGUAGCGGUGAAAUGCGCAGAUAUCGGGAAGAACACCCGUGGCGAAGGCGGCUCUCUGGGACGGUACUGACGCUGAGACGGCGAAAAGCGUGGGGAGCGAACAGG
RNAcentral lists this ribosomal RNA (255 nucleotides) under uncultured bacterium. Its description in RNAcentral is "partial 16S ribosomal RNA". It matches the Rfam family "Bacterial small subunit ribosomal RNA", at positions 524 to 776 of the family's 1533-position model. The record is from RNAcentral.